This 492-nucleotide ribosomal RNA is filed under the name uncultured bacterium. RNAcentral's name for it is "partial 16S ribosomal RNA". It matches the Rfam family "Bacterial small subunit ribosomal RNA", at positions 29 to 507 of the family's 1533-position model. The record is from RNAcentral.
AGUGAACGCUGGCGGUAGGCCUAACACAUGCAAGUCGAACGGCAGCACAGUAAGAGCUUGCUCUUACGGGUGGCGAGUGGCGGACGGGUGAGGAAUACAUCGGAAUCUACUUUUUCGUGGGGGAUAACGUAGGGAAACUUACGCUAAUACCGCAUACGACCUACGGGUGAAAGCGGGGGAUCUUCGGAACUUGCGCGAUUGAAUGAGCCGAUGUCGGAUUAGCUAGUUGGCGGGGUAAAGGCCCACCAAGGCGACGAUCCGUAGCUGGUCUGAGAGGAUGAUCAGCCACAGUGGAACUGAGACACGGUCCAGACCCCUACGGGAGGCAGCAGUGGGGAAUAUUGGACAAUGGGCGCAAGCCUGAUCCAGCCAUACCGACUGGGUGAAGAAGGCCUUCGGGUUGUAAAGCCCUUUUGUUGGGAAAGAAAAGCAGCAGGUUAAUACCCCGCUGCUCUGACGGUACCCAAAGAAUAAGCACCGGCUAACUUCGUG